RNAcentral lists this ribosomal RNA (443 nucleotides) under uncultured bacterium. Its description in RNAcentral is "partial 16S ribosomal RNA". It matches the Rfam family "Bacterial small subunit ribosomal RNA", at positions 338 to 795 of the family's 1533-position model. The record is from RNAcentral.
CCUACGGGUGGCAGCAGUGGGGAAUAUUGGGCAAUGGGCGCAAGCCUGACCCAGCAACGCCGCGUGAAGGAAGAAGGCCCUCGGGUUGUAAACUUCUUUUGUCAGGGACGAAACAAAUGACGGUACCUGACGAAUAAGCCACGGCUAACUACGUGCCAGCAGCCGCGGUAAGACGUAGGUGGCAAGCGUUAUCCGGAUUUACGGGGUGUAAAGGGGGUGUAGGCGGGAGAGCAAGUCAGAUGUGAAAUUUCAGGGCUCAACCCUGGAACUGCAUUUGAAACUGUUUUUCUUGAGUGCUGGAGAGGCAGGCGGAAUUCCGUGUGUAGCGGUGAAAUGCGUAGAUAUACGGAGGAACACCAGUGGCGAAGGCGGCCUGCUGGACAUUAACUGACGCUGAGGCGCGAAGGCGUGGGGAGCAAACAGGAUUAGAUACCCCGGUAGUC